CAAUAGAAGGGGAUUACGCCACACCGCUAGCAGCUGCUCUUGGUCAACAAAUUCGAGUUCAUGCCCCAGUUCGAAAUGAUGGAUGGCUAGAAAUUGCCUUUGGGUUAAGAGAGUCCAUUGUUACAAGAGUUGGGCAAACUUUUGACUUUGGGGACUACAAUAAUGAUGUGGAUGUGAGAUGUAUUAUUGAUCAUAAGUGCCAAACUUUGUACAGUGAAUGGAAAAGUAGAUUACACACACACUACAAAUCCCUUAAA
Non-coding RNA from Camellia sinensis, 257 nucleotides. The record is from RefSeq and is a predicted model, not a curated record. NCBI's taxonomy places the organism in Eukaryota, Viridiplantae, Streptophyta, Magnoliopsida, Ericales, Theaceae.